AAAAAAAAUACAAAAAAGAAAACGGACGAAAUAAAGAAAGAAAACGCCAAAACAGAAAGAGAAAAAACUUGCAUGAUCGUCGUCUUCUUCAUGAAGACAUUUUCAAGCUAAAAUCACCAAAAAACUCCAAAGCUGCCAUCUCCUUAUCCCUUUUCCCUUUGUCGUGCUAUAUGGUGAAGUCUCCGGAGGUCACUGAUUUCCAUUGAAUCUGGCGACCCUCCGCUUGAACUCGGAGAACACUGCUAUCAGGUCGCUCUUGUCGCUUCCCCUUUCUCUCUUGUUUUUCACUGUUACGUUGCCGGAAGGGACGAGAUCCGACAACCUCAAUUGUCUCUACUGAUUUUCUGUUUGAGUGCUCAUUUGGUUGGUUCAGCCGGAUUUCAUCACCGGAGAGUCUUCAUUUUGCCUAAAAAUAGUCCGCUCCGGCCUUUGUUAACUUAUUUGAAGUUCAAAUUCGUUUUCUGCGAAAAUCCAAGGUUGCCAUUCGUUGAUCCCGACCGAGGUGUCGUCCAUUGUUUCCGGCCAAGCUUAUCAAGGUCUAAUUCUAACUCUUUGUUCAUUCAUGUCGAAGUUAUUUGAGUGAACUCGUUUUAAUUUCAUGCUCACGUUUGCUAAAGAUAUGGUGUUGUUUUCGAGCCUUUUGGAUUACAUGCUACAUUGGUGUUAUUUGGUUCAGUGAUUUCUCAAGUUCUGUGAUGGAUCCUUCGAUCACUACUGACUUGAGUCAUUUUUCUCAUUAAUUGUGUGUUGCAAAGAUAGUGAAACAAAUAAGCAGUUGAGUGCUUUUCCAAAGAUUUUGAGUCUUGUUUGGUACUUUUUGUCAAGAACGAAUUACCUAUAAUUACUAAAUAUUUAGCCUUUUUUCGAUAACUUGAUUUGCUUAUCUUUUAACGUACUAAGUUUGUGC
RNAcentral lists this long non-coding RNA (907 nucleotides) under Nicotiana benthamiana. RNAcentral describes it as "long non-coding RNA (NBEN_LNC007025)". The record is from RNAcentral. Lineage: Eukaryota; Viridiplantae; Streptophyta; Magnoliopsida; Solanales; Solanaceae.